UACAGAGGGUGCGAGCGUUAAUCGGAUUUACUGGGCGUAAAGCGCGCGUAGGCGGCUAAUUAAGUCGGAUGUGAAAUCCCCGGGCUCAACCUGGGAAUUGCAUUCGAUACUGGUUAGCUAGAGUAUGGGAGAGGAAGGUAGAAUUCCAGGUGUAGCGGUGAAAUGCGUAGAGAUCUGGAGGAAUACCGAUGGCGAAGGCAGCCUUCUGGCCUAAUACUGACGCUGAGGUGCGAAAGCAUGGGGAGCAAACAGG
Molecule: ribosomal RNA, 253 nt
Filed under: uncultured bacterium
Lineage: Bacteria
Description: partial 16S ribosomal RNA
Rfam family: Bacterial small subunit ribosomal RNA
Source: RNAcentral